This 479-nucleotide ribosomal RNA is filed under the name uncultured bacterium. RNAcentral's name for it is "bacterial SSU rRNA". It matches the Rfam family "Bacterial small subunit ribosomal RNA", at positions 9 to 507 of the family's 1533-position model. The record is from RNAcentral.
GAGUUUGAUCUUGGCUCAGGACGAACGCUGGCGGUGUGCUUAAUACAUGCAAGUCGAACGAUGAGGUUCUUUCGGGAACUAUCAGUGGCGGACGGCUGAGCAACACGUAGAUAACGUGCCCUUUACUGGGGGAUAACACCGGGAAACCGGUGCUAAUACCGCAUAAGUCAUCUGUUGCAAUACAGAUGAUUAAAGAUUUAUCGGUAAGGGAUCGGUCUGCGUCUGAUUAGCUAGUUGGUAGGGUAAAGGCCUACCAAGGCAAUGAUCAGUAGUUGGUCUGAGAGGAUGACCAGCCAGAGUGGGACUGAGACACGGGCCCACACUUCUACGGAAGGCAGCAGUAGGGAAUUUUGCGCAAUGGGCGAAAGCCUGACGCAGCAACACCGCGUGCGGGAUGACGGUCUUCGGAUUGUAAACCGCUGUCAGCAGGGAAUAAAAAUAGACUGUACCUGCAAAGGAAGCAUCGGCUAACUAACGUG